UGGCUACCGGCCCGGACCAGCCCAGGAGGCCCUAAUCCGAGCUGGCCCAGCUCGAUCUCCGCCGAAACACGCCGCCGUCGAGCGCCGCGCCUGCGCCUCCCACUCCGAGCCUCGCCGCCGCGACCGACGACGCGGCCCUCCUCGGCUUCUCGCGCUUCGAAGCCGACGAGCUCAAGAGCCUCCUCCCGCAGUGAUGCAGGCUCUAAAAUGCUGUAGCUACACAUGGAUUCGUCGUCCUGGACAGCGUGGAUUCAGUUCAUGCCGAUAACAUGUCCUGCACCCAGGCUUGUCAAACAGCACCUUGUUUUGGCAUUACACUGAAGAAUAUUCGGGGUUUCUGAUAGAGUAUGGUAGAUUCAGCUUUGAUUAUACACAAACUUCAAUCUAUUACCGUUACAUUGGAUGGUAUAUCAAUUGAUCCCCAUAUUAGUGGUUUGCACCAAUUGGUGUCUAACAAUCUACUGUUAUCAGUGUGCAA
Molecule: long non-coding RNA, 478 nt
Organism: Triticum aestivum (bread wheat)
Lineage: Eukaryota; Viridiplantae; Streptophyta; Magnoliopsida; Poales; Poaceae
Exons: 2
Source: RefSeq, a predicted model, not a curated record